This 78-nucleotide transfer RNA is filed under the name Mesorhizobium sp. RNAcentral describes it as "tRNA-Thr". The stretch from base 4 to 72 matches the Rfam family "tRNA". From Rfam's summary of the family: Transfer RNA (tRNA) molecules are approximately 80 nucleotides in length. Their secondary structure includes four short double-helical elements and three loops (D, anti-codon, and T loops). Further hydrogen bonds mediate the characteristic L-shaped molecular structure. tRNAs have two regions of fundamental functional importance: the anti-codon, which is responsible for specific mRNA codon recognition, and the 3' end, to which the tRNAs corresponding amino acid is attached (by aminoacyl-tRNA synthetases). tRNAs cope with the degeneracy of the genetic code in two manners: having more than one tRNA (with a specific anti-codon) for a particular amino acid; and 'wobble' base-pairing, i.e. permitting non-standard base-pairing at the 3rd anti-codon position. Lineage: Bacteria; Pseudomonadati; Pseudomonadota; Alphaproteobacteria; Hyphomicrobiales; Phyllobacteriaceae. The record is from RNAcentral.
ACCGCCUUAGCUCAGAUCGUAGAGCAGUAGUUUUGUAAACUAUUGGUCGGGGGACGAGUCCCUCAUCAGGCGGCACCA